CGAAAUAUGCUUACGCUCAUACUUUUGAUCACGAUUUAUUAGAUUAUAAAUUGCAGUUUUUCACUGUUAUAACUGGUGAAAUUUGCCAUUCUCGUUUUGGCCAAUUCGCAAAUUAUAUGACGAAUAUUUUUGUAGCUUCAACUCUUUUGGGAUGUGAUGCCGUGUACGUUCCGCAGCAAAUAGUAGGACUGUGAAUGACGACGCAAAUAAAGCGACUUUUGAAUGUUCUGUACGCCAUCCAGUUUAAUUAUGGAAUGUUAUAAACACUGCGAUGCUGUCAGUACAUUGUUCUGUUAGCAUUGAAAGAUGUGACAAUAUUUACUUUGCCCUCUGAAACUGCAAUAUAAUUUGAUCUUGUCAUGGAAUGGGUACCACCUGGAAGAAGGAAAAGAGGACAUCCUCCAAACACCAGGAUACAGGAAAUUCAAUCAUCAAUGAGGGAGAGAAAUAUUGAAGAGGAUUUGUGGGCAAACAGACAAGAAUGGAGAAGAAAAGUUAGAAUGUAAAAUGUCAAAUUCAAUUGUAACCUUGGGUACCGGAAAAAUGUAUAAACAUUGUAUAACCGGAAAUAAAUAUAUGUACCAUUUACAUUUUAAUAUAAAAUAUGUCACUAUUUACAUAUAAAACAAUAGAUUCAAAA
Zootermopsis nevadensis is the source of this 640-nucleotide long non-coding RNA. RefSeq lists it as uncharacterized. The record is from RefSeq and is a predicted model, not a curated record. Lineage: Eukaryota; Metazoa; Arthropoda; Insecta; Blattodea; Termopsidae.